UACGGAGGGCGCAAGCGUUGUUCGGAAUCAUUGGGCGUAAAGCGCGUGUAGGCGGCUUGGCAAGUCGGAUGUGAAAUCCCGGGGCUCAACCCCGGAACUGCAUUCGAAACUGCCUCGCUAGAGUCCCGGAGAGGAGGGCGGAAUUCCCGGUGUAGAGGUGAAAUUCGUAGAUAUCGGGAGGAACACCGGUGGCGAAGGCGGCUCACUGGCCCGUAACUGACGCUCAGGCGCGAUAGCGUGGGGAUCAAACAGG
This 253-nucleotide ribosomal RNA is filed under the name uncultured bacterium. RNAcentral describes it as "partial 16S ribosomal RNA". It matches the Rfam family "Bacterial small subunit ribosomal RNA", at positions 524 to 776 of the family's 1533-position model. The record is from RNAcentral.